This 253-nucleotide ribosomal RNA is filed under the name uncultured bacterium. RNAcentral's name for it is "partial 16S ribosomal RNA". It matches the Rfam family "Bacterial small subunit ribosomal RNA", at positions 15 to 286 of the family's 1533-position model. The record is from RNAcentral.
GAUCCUGGCUCAGGAUGAACGCUGGCGGCAUGCCUAAUACAUGCAAGUCGUGCGGAAAGGCCCCUUCGGGGGUACUCGAGCGGCGGACGGCAGAGUAACGCGUAGGAACAUACCCCAAACUGAGGGAUAACUGCCCGAAAGGGUAGCUAAUACCGCAUGUGGUCUUCGGACUAAAGCUUCGGCGGUUUGGGAAUGGCCUGCGUUCGAUUAGCUAGUUGGUGAGGUAAAUGCUCACCAAGGCGACGAUCGAUAG